GAUGAACGCUGGCGGCGUGCCUAACACAUGCAAGUCGAGCGAACCCUUCGGGGUGAGCGGCGGACGGGUGAGUAACGCGUGGGUAACCUGCCCUGUACACACGGAUAUCAUACCGAAAGGUAUGCUAAUACGGGAUGAUAUAUGAAAGUCGCAUGGCUUUUAUAUCAAAGCUCCGGCGGUACAGGAUGGACCCGCGUCUGAUUAGCUAGUUGGUAAGGUAACGGCUUACCAAGGCGACGAUCAGUAGCCGACCUGAGAGGGUGAUCGGCCACACUGGAACUGAGACACGGUCCAGACUCCUACGGGAGGCAGCAGUGGGGAAUAUUGCACAAUGGGCGAAAGCCUGAUGCAGCAACGCCGCGUGAGCGAUGAAGGCCUUCGGGUCGUAAAGCUCUGUCCUCAAGGAAGAUAAUGACGGUACUUGAGGAGGAAGCCCCGGCUAACUACGUGCCAGCAGCCGCGGUAAUACGUAGGGGGCUAGCGUUAUCCGGAAUUACUGGGCGUAAAGGGUGCGUAGGCGGUCUUUCAAGCCAGAAGUGAAAGGCUACGGCUCAACCGUAGUAAGCUUUUGGAACUGUAGGACUUGAGUGCAGGAGAGGAGAGUAGAAUUCCUAGUGUAGCGGUGAAAUGCGUAGAUAUUAGGAGGAAUACCAGUAGCGAAGGCGGCUCUCUGGACUGUAACUGACGCUGAGGCACGAAAGCGUGGGGAGCAAACAGG
Molecule: ribosomal RNA, 718 nt
Filed under: uncultured bacterium
Lineage: Bacteria
Description: bacterial SSU rRNA
Rfam family: Bacterial small subunit ribosomal RNA
Source: RNAcentral